Molecule: ribosomal RNA, 460 nt
Filed under: uncultured bacterium
Lineage: Bacteria
Description: partial 16S ribosomal RNA
Rfam family: Bacterial small subunit ribosomal RNA
Source: RNAcentral
CCUACGGGAGGCAGCAGUGAGGAAUAUUGGUCAAUGGGCGGAAGCCUGAACCAGCCAAGUCGCGUGAGGGAAUAAGGCCCUACGGGUCGUAAACCUCUUUUGCCGGGGAGCAAGGGCCGGGACGAGUCCCGGUCCGGAGAGUACCCGGAGAAAAAGCAUCGGCUAACUCCGUGCCAGCAGCCGCGGUAAUACGGAGGAUGCGAUCGUUAUCCGGAUUUAUUGGGUUAAAAGGGUGCGUAGGCGGGCUUUUAAGUCAGCGGUAAAAAUUCGGGGCUCAACCCCGGCCGGCCGUUGAAACUGGGGGCAUUGAGUUGGCGAGAAGAAUGCGGAAUGCGUGGUGUAGCGGUGAAAUGCAUAGAUAUCACGCAGAACCCCGAUUGCGAAGGCAGCCUUCCGGCUCCCUACUGACGCUGAGGCACGAAAGUGCGGGGAUCGAACAGGAUUAGAUACCCUGGUAGUC